AAUAAAAUUACAUGAAAUUAUUGAUUUUUCUCAAAUAUCAACACCACUCAAAUUAACAAAUCUUGAAUCAAGCCUUUCAACCAUUGGCACAGAAGCAUUAUUCACCUUAACAAUGUAUAUAACCAUUAAAAUACAAAAUAAAAUAAUUUUCUCACGAAAAUAUCAAGUCAAGUGCCUUACGCGAAACCAUGUCAAACAGAGAUCGCUUAAUCAUUCAAACACUUGGCACAGAAGCAAGAGCAUUCCUUCUGUUAUGUUCUCAUCCCCAUCAUUAAUCCAUUUCACUUUUGGAUUUUUGAAACCAAAAAAUUUCAAUAACUUCUCCAAUUCAGCUUUCGAAGAACAUUCCACAUCCUCAAGAUAGAAUUUUGCUGGGCUUUCAGAGCCUUUCCAACACCCAAAAUUCUCCGCCACACUGAUGUUUAUGCUUGUUAAGGCUACCAUCUUUAUUCGUUAAUUUUAUAAUAUUAUUUUAAAUAUUGACUUAUCACACACUUCAUUAUCAUAAUUCUAAUAACACUGGUUCAGCUUCAGCAUAAAAGCAUAAUGCUGGUUGUGGAUAAUCAACUUCACAGAUCAACAAUGAGAGCAGCAAGAUUAACACAAUGCUGCAAAUCAACCAUAAUUUCUUGGUAGAAACUAUUUAUUUGCAUGAUAACUUUUGAUCAGCAAACAACCAACAAGGUAAUGUUCUGUAGCUGAAGAACAACUUAUAAAAUAGGAAUAUAUUUGUGUAUAUAUAAGAAGCCACUGACUACACUAUUUACGAUGCAAUUCUGAUCAUAAAGAAUUGCAUUAGGGCGAGAUAAGGAAAUAAAAUCUUCAUACCACAUCUUCCAUUUCUGAAGUGAAGACAUGAAAGAGAGAAAUUAAAGAAAUUCUCAAGUAACCAGAAACCCUUGCCAGUAGAUAAUCUUCAUUCAUCACUUCCCUCCUUCACCUUAAUUUCCAGGAGGCGUUCAACUGGUUGCCUGCAGAUGGGGCAUCGAUCUGUUUGCAAUCGCAAAACCUUGGCACAUGUACCGCACAUACACAUAUGUCGGCAUGGGAGGACAGUAGUAUCUCGUGGUUCCGAAAAGCAGAUGACACAUUCUUUUCCAGAAUCAUUCUCAUCAGAUUCAACUUCCAAAGAGUUCCCAAUCCCAUAAAUCUCCUGCAACUCAUAUCUCGUGCUAUUCACCCAUAGGAUCUGUUUCAUAACCCGGACAAUGUACUUAUCAUUCAUUUUCUUAUCAAACACAGCCAACGUGAUCUGUGAAUUUCCAGAUGAAUUAGCUUCCAAUUCAUCAUUAUUUGAUGGGCACACCUCAGCCUUCACCAUAAGAGGAUAAACCCCUUCAGCACCCUCCUUCUUUAACUCUGCAUCCUCAAACAUUGAGAAAUCAAUCCCUGUUCCAGAAGGUUGUCUAAACUUCUGAUCAAGACCUUGCUCAAACGAUACCUUCACAGGUUUUGUUGCUAUCACGUCACAGUUUGCACCUUCUUUAGCAAAAAACCCAAUUGUAAUGCUGUAACAUAAAUAGGAAAAGGAAAAAUAAAUACACCAUGCCAAUGACAAUUAGAUGUGUUAUAGGAUCAUCAUUCAUUUAAGUCAAACACUUCAAUUUAAAUAAUCAAAUGAAAAAGAAUUCAAGCUGAUCAGGGCAAAACAGUUUGAGAGUAAGAUAAAGAGAAGAAAAAAUAACCCUAGUUCAAAACUUCUUCCGACUGCUCAAUUUUCUCAAAUAUUGACUCCCCUGCAACUGGGAAAAUGAGGCUCCUAUAAGCAGACAAAACUAAACAGUUCUGAGAUAAUAUUAUCAUCAUUUGAAGCUCACUCCAAGAAGAUAGUCCAAUCCACCAAUUUUACCCAGUCAAGGCAAUUAGCGCUUAUAAACAACCUCAUCAGCAAUCUGGGAUUUAACAUUCUCAAAUAAAUAGCAUUAAAAACCAAACCCCAACAUUACUGUAGCUUCGCCUUUUUCAUCAAUUUGAGAAAUCAAAUCCAGCAAUAGCAAUUAACGGGGAAAAAAUGUAUCAUCGGGAAAUUACCUUCCAGGGGCAGUGGCAUCAAAAGUGAACGCGACGAGAAACUUUCCGGGAUUCUCAUCGUCCUCCUCAACCCUAAUGCUAUCUUUCCUUAUAUUCACAUCAUUCCUAAUUGUAACCGCCUUUUGAUACUCAACGGGAGGCGAAACCAUCGGCGGAGCAACACCACAAGGAUAACGAUGGAAAUUAUGAGGAACCGGACCAAACGGCACAUGCGGAGGCGGGUAAUAUCCAGGAGGAUACUGAUGAUAAUGGUAAGGAAUAUUAGGAUUUGGAUACUGAGAUGGGGCCGCAAAUGCGUAUUGGCUAGUUGUGACUGGGGCCUGCGGCGCAGGUGCUGGUCGGUGGUGAUGAUACCUACGGCUAUUGCUUGCUGAAUUUCCCAUUCUGUGAAAAGUUUGGUGUUUGGAUGACGAGAAAAGCGAGGAAGAAAAUGUAAACAAUUAAAGAGAACAAAAAUAAAAGCGAGAUGAUGUUUAAGAGAAGCCACCAGAAACAGCGAUUUUUACAAGGACACGACGCGAAGCGGUUGGCGAUUUGCUUGCUUGACAGCUU
RNAcentral lists this unclassified non-coding RNA (2583 nucleotides) under Hevea brasiliensis (rubber tree). Lineage: Eukaryota; Viridiplantae; Streptophyta; Magnoliopsida; Malpighiales; Euphorbiaceae. The record is from RNAcentral.